UCCCUGGUGGUCCAGUGGUUAAGACUCUGUGCUCCUAAUACAGGGGCACAGGUUCAACCCCUGGUCAGGGAA
This 72-nucleotide transfer RNA is filed under the name Ovis aries (sheep). Its description in RNAcentral is "tRNA-Arg (CCT) (tRNA-Arg-CCT-25-1)". It matches the Rfam family "tRNA". Rfam says of the family: Transfer RNA (tRNA) molecules are approximately 80 nucleotides in length. Their secondary structure includes four short double-helical elements and three loops (D, anti-codon, and T loops). The record is from Rfam by way of RNAcentral. Lineage: Eukaryota; Metazoa; Chordata; Mammalia; Artiodactyla; Bovidae.